Molecule: long non-coding RNA, 900 nt
Filed under: Phasianus colchicus (ring-necked pheasant)
Lineage: Eukaryota; Metazoa; Chordata; Aves; Galliformes; Phasianidae
Description: lncRNA (ENSPCLG00000008123.1)
Source: RNAcentral
GCAGAACCUUGCAGUGGCAGCCUGGUCAGCCAUUCCUUGCUCUGAUAUGUAACCCUUCGGAGGCGAGAAGGUUUCCUGGAAGGUAUUAGUUUUCUGGGCUCUUGUUUGUGCCUGUUGAAAAGGCUCUCACUAAUUAUGGAAUGAGUCAUGCAAUCCUAUUGAAUUACAGUAUAUGCACCUGUAAGAUGUUCUGCCAAAUAAAACAGAUUCUCUCAAGGAUUUCUGAAUGUAUCAAUAUCAAAGCCUGCUUUGUUUGUGAUAGAGCAAAAAGUUUUACUUUGUGUGCAUUAUUUUAAGUGCACUCACAGGUUGCUGCCUUAUCAACCACACCCUGGUGUGAUGAAUGUAAGUGCCAGUCUCAGCACCUGGGCCUCCUUUGCAAUCUGAUGUCGAUAUGGGCAACGAGGCUCAACUGUUCUGGGUGUCCAGAAAGAAAGAGGAAAGGCUCUUUCUUCCCUGCACAUGGCCAGAAAAGCCCUGGGAGUACAAUGCUGUGGGUUGGGGGAAGGCAGUAGAAUUGGAAAGAGAAGCAAGUCAUUUUUCUCCAGAGCUACUGAAGCUUGCCAUUGAGUUCCUGCAAGGCAGAGUGAAGUAAGAUGUCAGCUUGAAUGACCUAAGAAGUACAACAGAUGGAGGAUUUAUUGUGCAUUUACUGAGAAGAAAGAAACAAUACAGCACUGAAUUAUCAGGUGAGAGAGAAAAAAGGCAACAUUUGUUUCUCUUCCUUACAAGGAAUGAUUCAAUGUAGUGGUAUAUUUUGUGAGUGUAAUUACCUUCGUCCCAAGCUCCAUCUUGGAUUACAAAGAGAAAAAAAGCACAUGUUCAGGCACAGAUGAGGCAGAACCUGGUCCCAUAGGAAUACUGAGGGACCAAGUAAAUAAAGUUUAUUCCUUCUCUUCA